CUCUCUCUCGAGAAAUGGAAAGACCUCAGUGUGGGGCUGCGGCCGCAUCGUCUGCCUGGUCCUCUCCUCGGUUUCUCAGCAUCAACGAUUAAUUUCUCUCAGCAACAAAUCUCUUGCUAUUAAUUUUCACGCCGGCACUCUGCCUUCUCUUACUAAUGAUCUCCUCCACCAACGCACAUUCCUUCCAUCUAGACAACAAGCUUUGUGUGAAGGAGCAGGUCCUUGUAUGCCUGUGCCCGGGCUGUGGAGCGAUCGAGGUUGAGCACCGGAGGAGCAGACUAUGGAGUCGCGGACGAGGGAGCAUCUAGCGGCGGGUCGGCGUGAAGGUUGGAGCUCGGCCGCCAUGGCGAUUUGGAGGCUGAGUGCUAGACACGGAGUACUCUGUUCCGCCAUCGGCUCAUCUGACCAUCCCUGUGAUAGAUCCACGCGCCACGGCCUCUGAUGGCACCGCCGCCACCGUGUAAUCGUGUCUCCCUCGUAUGCCUUCAGAUUGCGAGCUUCCUCAUGUAGUAAUCGAACGAAAAGCGAAGAAACUGAUCUCCCCGUGCUCUUCAACAGCCAGAUCCAAGCCACAGGACGAAACCUUUUGAUCUGCGUGUGGAAAUUAUGAUGGAUGUUGCCGUUGAUGGAAAAUAGGUUCCGACCGGCAUUGGCGACGAUGAACAAAAGACGCAUUGCUCCCUUUCUCAUCUUCAGGGGAUAAUGAAGUAUUCAUUGUUAUUCUUAUUUGUCUUUUGUAUCAGGCACUUGCGAAGUGGCGAUGAAGAUCGAAAGACGCGUUGCUCCCGUUCUCAUCUGAAAACAUACUUUUUUACAACAGAAUUUGUUUGUUAUAUAUUUUUAUUUCACCUUUUACGUGCAUCUACCCUGAUUGAAACCUGCACAUGUCUUUUGCUGAAUUCCACGGUUUCUUCAAACUACCAUAUGUCAUGGUCUUCCACCGUUUUGAAUUAGAAAAGCUCAGAAGAAAUACAUAGAUUUCUGA
Long non-coding RNA from Triticum dicoccoides, 985 nucleotides. RefSeq lists it as uncharacterized. The record is from RefSeq and is a predicted model, not a curated record. NCBI's taxonomy places the organism in Eukaryota, Viridiplantae, Streptophyta, Magnoliopsida, Poales, Poaceae. The transcript is spliced from 4 exons.